RNAcentral lists this non-coding RNA (92 nucleotides) under Candidatus Omnitrophota bacterium. Its description in RNAcentral is "Omnitrophica WOR c-di-GMP sequence". It matches the Rfam family "c-di-GMP-I riboswitch aptamer". From Rfam's summary of the family: GEMM was predicted in a large-scale screen for bacterial structured RNA regulatory elements. The record is from RNAcentral. Lineage: Bacteria; Pseudomonadati; Candidatus Omnitrophota.
GGGAAAAAAAGGCAAACCAUCCGUAAGGAUGGGGCGCAAAGCUUCCGGUCCUGAGCGAACGAAGUGAGUCGAAGGAUAGCGGGGUUGCCAAG